Bombus terrestris (buff-tailed bumblebee) is the source of this 13152-nucleotide long non-coding RNA. RefSeq lists it as uncharacterized. The record is from RefSeq and is a predicted model, not a curated record. The transcript is spliced from 6 exons. NCBI's taxonomy places the organism in Eukaryota, Metazoa, Arthropoda, Insecta, Hymenoptera, Apidae.
GUAUCGGACGAUGUCAGGUUAGUCUAAUAUCGUUUAAUUAAUCCAAACGACGCUGAAGCGUGGAGCAAAUGAAACAGAUCGACGGCCAGGUGACUCGAAUCCAAAGUCGAGUAACUUGACCGAUGUGAACGAGGCCUAAGAGGAGGAGGGCCGGAGUGCGCGAAGCAACGGAUGGGGGCCGAAGGCGAAGAAGAAGGAAGAGAAGAGCCGCGCAACGGUCAACGUUCUGCUUCUUGCGCGGAUUCUAAAUACAUUUUAAUAUAUGAGCGCGUCGUGCUCGACUCGCGUAGCGUUCGUCGUCCAUGAAAACUUGGUACGCGUUAAAUCCGUUCCAUCCAGGCCAGCUGAUCGAGGCGAGGGCCUUCGAUCGCGCGCAUCGCGCCGAAAAUCGGAAAUAAAUAUAUUACCGGCCGAUCAGAAAUAAACUACGCACGGUGCCGGGCUAAACGUAGAACAGAUCGAAACGCAAACUCGAUUCCGGGGAGAUAGCGGUGAUCGAUGGGAAAUGUCGCGUCCUCCGAGUGAACGAAGAGACGAGGUCGACCGCGAGGACGGUCAGGGAUUUCGGAAACAGUUCUGGAAGGUCACAGUUCCUCGAGUGUUUCUACUUACUUCGUUGAUUGCAACAUACUAUAUGGCUAAUGAACACCGUGUAAAGGAUACCAAAGAAGGAACCACUUCGAAUCGGACGCUUUCUUCUGGCGGAUUAAAGAAGGUAAAAGAGAGCAUGAAAAUCUAUGGACCUUGAAUAUAUAUGUAGUCGCUGUAUUUUUCGAUCGUUUAUUUUGUCAACCUUUUAUUAUUGCAUAGAUAAAAAUAUGCGAUAAUAUUCUAACAAAUUUCCCAAAUUUCGAGACGAUCCCAAUGUCCUCUCCAAGCGAAUCAUAUACAUGUUAUUUCUUUCGUAUUAAUCACUUAUCCUCUUUAAUUACUGAACACCUAGUUUCUAAGAAAUAUAUUUGAAUAUUUAUAAAUCGAACGAAUCGUGUGCAAUGAGUUACUAGCGAUUGACGAGGAUAUAAGUAUCGUGUAUCGAAGCAAACGCGAAAUAUCGUAAGAAAUGGCGUCCUCGCGUAAAAAUGGAAAUUUCGCCUGGAAGAGAAUUUAUUCUAAAACUACCGACUAAUGAGUCAAUCGCGUGCAGAAUAUCGCGUGUCAAUUGCAUUUCACCAGCAAUUUAAGCUUCCGUAGCACGGUGCACAUCCGUGGCUUUUACGAAACAACGGAAGUUUGACGUUCGAUGUACGUAUCAUCGAUAGAACUAUACGGCAAUCAGUCGAGUCUCGUAAAAGGUACACGAGCAGUCGGUAUUCUCUCAUUAUAACCAACAAAAAUAGACAUCGUUAUUUCGUCGCUUACACGAAGCCGCGGUUUAAAGCAUGGCUUUAUUUUUAGGUAAAACAUAAAGCGUUACGUAAACGUCGAACAGCGUACAGACGUUUCGGGACAUUUUCGCGCGAAUCUUCCUUUUUCCCUUUUCCCUUUCGCCGUUCGAAACUUCGCCGCGAAUAUCAUCGAUUUGUAAUUGCGGCGUAUUUAAAUUUUUCUGUACGAACGAUACUUUUCGCAAUAACAUAGCGUUUUCUUUAUUUGCAAUCUGAAUGAAGAAAUCCACAUAUUCCGUUUUACACGCGUCUUUACACCCUGCCAACCAAUUCCACGCGAAAACGACGUAUUCCUUCAUUCGAAUUUAACAAAUACCGAUAACAUUCAGUAAGCAGUUUAAUAUUAAUUUGUCUUAAUCGACAUUGUAAAUUUAUCAUAUAUUUUCAAAAAAUGUAUAUCUUCGAAUUUAUCAGGUUGUUCUCUUCUCCGGCUAUUUUCAACUUCUUGUUCGAAAUUUCUAAAUUUCCAAGUUACUUCUUUCCAGCCACGAAGUGAUAGGAAAAUCAGAAAAACGAGAUAAAUGGGCUUAUCUUUCUCCGUAACUUUCCUCUUCUAUAAUUAGAUUUACCACUAUUUAUUAAUGCAAAUUAAACAACCGAAUUCAGUCGCCAGCUAAUAGCACCUGCUUAUUCCGAUCUCUAGAGAUUCGCGUUUACGAUUCGGGUUUAAUGCCUCCAUCGGGCUCUGCCCCUAACGAGGUUCUAUUAAGUUGAACACGUGUUCCGAAAGCUUUGAUAGUCCACGUUAGCGUGAAUCUCAUCGAGCAGACCCUGGAAAUAGCGUGGGACACGCGCUAGUUGCCUGAAACUCGACAAGUCCGAUUUUAUUUAUGAACGUUUUUAUAAAUGACGUGCUAAACAUCUACGAUGACAUCGGAUGUCAGGCAUCGGAUGAUCCAUAGGAUCUGGCCCGAAAUGAAUCUUCGAACAAUAAGGAGAAACGCGUUAUUUCUAUUAGCGAAAAGUUGAGACGUAACCUGCAAUAAAAUCUCGAGUGUAUUUGACAUGUGCGUGGCUAAAGAAAAACAAACGUGCUCGCGCAACCAGAAAUUUAAACGAAACUUUGUGCUAAAUUCCCUCGUAUCUACCUUGUCGAAUGGCACAACAAACGAUACUUCCGUUCGUUCAUUGAAAUUUUAGGUCUGUCGAUUAUCACGAAUUUCGACCGCGAUAUUUUUUCUCCCAGCCAUCGUCUUUGCUACCCGAUUUUUCUUACCGAGCCACCGUUCUCAAAUUCUCGAUCGAUCCAAGGUCCAAUUAAUCGAUUCCUCCGUUAAUCAAAAUUUCACUGUCAUCAAGAGGAGACUGACGUUGGAACUGUCGAUGAGAACUGUCAGGUUUAUAACUUGGCAGUUGCUUGGUUAAACAAUCGGCUGACCAGACCUUCUCGUUUCUGAAUUUCUGAAUGCAAGGCAUUCGACACGGAGCAUCUUAAAUCGAUCGUCUUUUCAUUGCUCUUCACCGAUGGUAUUCUUCAACGUCUACCGGACGUUCGAUCAAGUCUACGCCAAUCAAAUAACUCGCGAACGAUGAAGUUUACUUGCGAAGCUUCGUAUGGCUCGUUGUCAAAUUUAUCAUCGCCGUACUUGCUUCUAACUACUAGAAUCUCACCGAUAACGUCAGUUCGGACGUGCGGGCGAAGCUGCUAGCUGCCACUUGCGAUCUUCCUAAAGCAGUCGGCAACGAAAAAUGUACUCGAGCAACCGUGAAAUAAGAAAAUAAUCUGAAUCAUCGAGAAUACUCGUACAGCAGGUGACGACCUGACGCAAGGGGAAGCAGGAGAAACAACGGAGCCGGACCGUUCGGUUCGGUCAGCCAACAAAUCACGUGGAACGCGAGACGCACGGUCCCUGAAGAUUUACAAGCGAGGCAUCGGGAGGAUCAAAGUUGAGACUUUGGAUGACAGAUAGGGGUUACGGGAGGGGCAGAGCGCGCGAGAUACGUCUAUUCUGGAUUCUGGCAACAAUAAUGCCCGCCAGGGACAGCGGACCGAGUGGACCAACCGCAACACACGCGCCUUGUGCUCCCGCGAACAACUAAUAACGCGGCUAGUACAAAGGCCGCCUGGUCUAAUUUCGUAUUAUCCUGCGCGUCGCUUGCUAAAAAUACAAAACCAAAAAGCCUGGGUACGUUCACUUUUUAACAAGGAAGCGAGAAAUUUUGCCGGUUGACGGAUGCUUCGACGAUAACAUCGAGCGAGAUUGUCGACCGGACGGAUGAUGGAGGAUGGCGAGCUAGACUCUGCUUGCAAACAUUCCCGAGAAUGAUUUACGAUCCUGUAUAUAAUCGAAGGAUAUAAAUCGUGCAGCUUCCUGGAAGACGAACGUAUUAUUGAUCUAUGGUUCGUUCUUCCGUGAAACUUCUCUUCUGAAUUUUGUCGCGAUCGUUAAGGAAUGACAGGCGAACGUUCGUCGAUUUACGGUGGCUAUAAACUGUAUCGGCGCAACGUCGUUGUAGCAUUUACGUUCUAACAUACCUCGGCCGAGGUAUAUUAAAUCACGUAUCGUUUAGCGGUACUUUUAAACGGCUACUAAAAUUUCCCUACUGUGAAACCGAAUCGUGCUACUUCAUUAGAAAAUAAGGGUAUGUGCCAAUACUUGCUCUAGCCACUGUACGUCUACUUGAUUUGUGGAUCGGUUAACGUUCGGCUGGUUUGUGUAUUUUGUAACGGAUCGAACGCUGUAUCGACGAUUCUCCUCUAAUUUUACAAGAACCGAAUUUAUCGUAAAGAGGAGCAAAGGGGCGUAGAUUUUGCCCUGCGAGUCUUUUUUUUCAGAAAUUUUUCGACCUACGAUAUCAGGAAGAAUUUGAAAUUUCGUUUGAUGAGUUUUAACGCCGGUAAGCCUCUUUGCUGGUAAUUUAGGCUUCUUUAUUAGAGUUUGAUGGCAACUAAGAGGGAUGUGCACGUUGAUGGAUAUACGCGUUGCAGGUUUGCGUGGUUGGAGCCGAGCAAGGGCAGGAAAUCGUUGGAUACACGAGGUACACCUCGUCACAUCAUUUAUAGGAGUAACAACGAGACCUGUUUAUUGCUAGUUCUUGAUAGAAAUUGGAAGCAUUGAGUGGAACAGUAUCUGUUCUCUGAAUAUGUCGAUAUCGAAUUUCGUUACUUGUCAAAUCAUUGCACACGGUGUCCCUCUAUCGAUCGUACAAUCGGCAAACAGCAAUUCUUCGUGAAAGAACAAAUGGAAGAUACAGAAGUCGACUACUCCUCCGUCAUUGUACCACCAACAACAGUGGAUUCCCUGUAUACGUAUAACAAAUUGCUUAUCGGCUGACCGGUUCGAAGUAAAUGAAGUACCAGCGCACGGCGUACAAAGGUACAUACGCACGCAGUCGAAGAACAACAACGGGUCUUUGGCUCGUGUCGUUGCGUCACGGCGACGCAUUCUUUCCGGUCGGAAGUUUGGGACGCGUAGUCGUCGUCGUCGUGUCUGUCAAGCGGUCCGUGACAGCGGCGAAUCAAAGCGCGAUCGGCGGCUAUCCUCUUUUCUUCCUCCUCUCUGUCCUCGUGCCUUUCGUCCACUAGUUUGCUUUCAGGGUUAACGCGGCGAAAUAUCGGUGCCGCUUAUGUAAAAUCUUGUACGAGUAACAUUGGCAUUCUAAUAAUAAACACGGCAGUCAGGCCUGCCUGGCCCAUGGCAACGUAGAAACGCGUUCAUUACCUACCUGACCGCGUACAACGUCGCAAUCAGAAGAGUAAUUUGCUGCGCGGAGAAGAUCCUCGCCGCGUUAGAGGUGCUUACGACCUAAACUAAAAAUACGUACGGGGUCCGAUCAACGGCCAACUGGGCCAGUGAAGUAACCGUAGCUCAACGUCCCAAAUAUAGUCCGACAUCUGUACAUAUAGUCGCGGAGUGCCGAUAGUUGGCAUCCGCGGCAACGUGCAAACAUCACCGACAGUAUAAUAGCGGCUGUCACCACGAUUCCCUAAUGACAUACCUAUCGUUGGAUCAUCUCUCGCUCGUUCUUUCUUCCCAACGCGGCCAAAUUUCCUACGCGUUCGUCUUCUUUAAAUUGUCAAACCGUCGGUGUAAUUCGUCCUGUGUAUGGACGCGUGUUUUCGUUGCAGCUGAGAGAGGAGAAUCCGUAGGACAAUUUUCAUGGUCUCCGCACUUUGUCUUCCCCUUAAAUUCUCCCGAAACUUGCUCCGUUGAUAUAAUCGUUCCCUGUAUACGAUCGUGUGUUUUCGUUGAAAUCGAGAGAGGGAAAUUUGCAGGUUCGAAGAUUCAGACAAUCGAGAGAUGCCAGACAAUGGCGAUGGCUCAUUUCGAUGGUACGGAUGAAGUAGGUUGCUGAAGUACUUUGGGCUGGUUUCGCGGCAAAGUAUUACGUUUGCUUUGGUAGCAAGUCAAAACCUUGAAAUAGUUCUUAGCUUCGCGAAUCGUUUAAUGCAGAAGAUUCUUCUCUUUCUUUCUCUGGGUCGCUUCUUUUGAGCAGAAAGACUUCACAGAGUUGCAAACGUUAAAAGAUCGUGGAAGAAAACUGAUUUUACCUUUGAUCGACAUUCGUCGUAGCAAAUAUAUGCAUUGUGUAAGAAGCAAAUGAUCGGUGAGAAGGUAAAUGAUUGUAUCCAAGAGGCGAUGAAUCAACGAGCCGAAGAUCCUGUCACGUUUGAAGAUCUAAAUGCAGGCGAUCUAUGGUAAAACGAUAUUCGAUUAAAUAUCGAUGUUUGUCCAAAAAGAGAUAAAAAUGUCAGGCGUAUCAAAUAGAAAUUCAGCGAUCCCUCGCGUCUAAAAUCAACGAAAAAAUUCGAAUCAAAUGCGAAUUCUCCGCUUAGGUUGAAAUCUCUCGGCUUAAGAAGAAGAUUUUUCGAGGAAUCUCGUCGGAACGCACCGAUGCCAGCAACUUAAUUUUGCGAUUUUCGCGAGCAGCCGAGCAUCCUCGCGCUAGAUCGUUGCCAGGAAACCUACACUAUCGUACGUUUGCUUCAAUUCGAUUUACGAUGACACGUGCAACGGUUAUAAAUAAAUGGCACGCGAUUGUUUAUACGUCGAUAGUUACUGACGACAUCGUGAAAGUAGUCGUGGACGUUUGCAUCGGACGUCUGAUUGGAAAUCCGCGACGAGAGCUGUAGAAGCGGAACCGUUUCGUUGCCGCGAGACGUUGAUGGAUCGCGCGAGGGAUGCGACAAAGGGGAAGGAAAUAUUGCUCGUUCUCAAGGAAAAUCCAGUAUAAAUAACGCAUGAAAUUUAUGCACGCAACCCUGUUCCGCGAUAGGAGUUCCCUCCUUUUUCCUUUUUUCCUCUGAGGUCGGAUAGUUCGAAGGACAGCGGUUUCCACGCGAGAUCGGUUCGAGGAAAAAAAGCGUCGCGGAGGUCGAUCGUUCCUUCGAUAUUUUAGGAAAAAUGCUGUUGAGAAGUGUCAUUCUUUUUUUUUUUUCAAAGAAAUAUUCGAAAGAAUGUAUAGGAGAAAAGAGAGGAUCGAAAAAAAGGAGGAGGAAAAAGAUAAAAAUAACGAUAAAGCGGGGAAGAAAAGAGUAUUAAAAAGAUGUCGAUAAAAAAAAGUGGACACCUUUUUCUCUACAGAAAAAUGUAAAAAAAGAAUUUAAGAAAUGAUGCUUCGAUAUCUGAUUCCAAGCGUCUCCGAGCAUUUCACUUCCACGCGUUUUUAUUUAAGUAACGUUACAAGAUACCUUUCUUUCUAUCGUCACGGGCCGAGGAAAAAGCGAACGAGCAGAGGGUCUCUGACAUUGUGACGAAUUCCAUAUGACCGAUACACGAAGCACAGGAAAAGCAAAACAGAGAAAAGGAAGAAGAAACGGACGAAACCGACGUAACUACGUCUGGCGAGGAGUCAGAGAUUACGUUUAUAGAAGGAUAUUACGUAGGUACUCGAACUCGUUGUUGCAGAGAUUUAUUUUUCAUAAAUCCUACGGAUCAUCGUCUUUCGCCAAUUUCCAUUCUACUCGAUGAUUAAUCUUCCCAUGGGAAAGGUGAAAGUAGAAAAAACGGUUGUUCCAUGUGCAAUAAAAAAAGCGAGAAGGAAGAGAAGCGUAAAGGUUAAGGGAGAAAGGGAAAUAUAAAAGAAGAGGAAGCAAAAAAGGAAGAAGAGAAAGAAAGGAAAAGGGUCACGGCGAAGCCUGCCUUUCAUUACACGUGUUUACGGCUGAACGAAAGCACCGGCUAUCUAUUUUUACAUCCGUAUCUCGUUCGCUGUAUAGAAGAAUCGAAAGUAGUAAAACUCGAACGGCGCAAAAAUUGCCGCUGGCAAGCGUUCACAGCGCGAGGAUAAACCGGCGAAGCGUACGAGACGACGGAGGGCGAAACGGCAGCAAAACGACAGGUUUCGAGCUAAGGCGACGUGGAGGAAACGCAGAAAACUCUCAUCUAUCAUGUCGAAACGUGUUACGCGCGAAAAUAGUCGCAAGGAUACACCGAGGUCGGACUUGGCGAGAGCGUGGACGGGACGCCGGGCGUCAAGGGUGCGCGUGGAUUAUCAAGCGUACGCACCAGCUGCCGCGACACUCUCGCCAUCCUCGCGUCCAUUGCGAACGCGUCGGCCGCUUUCGAUCGCGCGGCUUCUUUGGCAUGAUAUUUCAUAAAAAAAAAAAUAUGUUUAUCUAGAAAUGUGACUCGGGAAAUUUCAACUCGAAAGCCUAGAAGUCGAGAUAUUUAAAAACUUUCACGUUCGAAUGGUCGACGACUUGAAAAUUUCAGUCUGGCGCUUGGAAAUGCGAAGGUUUGGACGUUGGAAAGUUCAAGAAAUUGGACACUUUGAAUGUUACAAACGGUUGAAUUUAAUGAAAUUCUUGCGAAAACUGAAACUGCGUACGACGCUGUAUCGUAGAACGAUGCUAUAAAGCGGAUGGCUCGUGCAAAGACAAACCGAAAACGUUGCACAAAAUUUGUUCUCGAGAAGGCCAUGGUACGCUAGGUGCAUAUGCACUUAAGCGCGAUAUAAUUCGUCGAAUGAUACGUUAGUCAAUUGUUUUGUUUACUCGCGAACUUUACGAGAUAUGAAAUAACGAUUGUAUUAUUAAUGCAAACUAUCAGCGAUUUUCUACGAAGAACAUCCGCUUUAAGAUACGCUACAUCGAUAACCAACAAUUCAUAUCAACAGAACCGUUGCAUCUUCUAUUAUAUUUUAUUAUACAUUCUAUUACAUUCUAUAAUAAUUAUUCGAUUAAGAGAUCACGCUAAUAUUAAAAACGUCUAUCUCGUUGAAUCUUGCUCUUAAUUUUCUAUUAAUUCUGUAGAAAGCAAACUGUAAGUUUUACAACCUGCGUUGCGUUUACUAUUCUCAUCAAGGCACUGGAACUAUUCAUAGACAAUUAUGAAAGUUUGUAUAAAUAGCUAGUAAUAUUACAAAUGCGAUAUAUAAACAUAUUCAUUGUGACUAUGCGAGUGGAUCUGUGUCGACGCAGCUUCUGACGAGCGUCGUGAAACGGAACAACUGUUGUCUCGACUCGAAAAGAGAUUAAAAUGCCAGAAACUCGAGUUCUGUCUCAAUAUUAUUGUUCGGCUUACCUUUGAAGGUGUAGUCGUCCAGUUUCGUCGUUCAUUCUGUGUAACAAUCAUUGAAGAUAACAUUAGGAGGUGGACAAUUGUAUACAGGAAAAUAAAAUUUCAUUUUUCAAAGGAUGAACGACGUCAGGAUGUCUAGGUGUAAUUACUACAGCACUUAGUAUUCUGUAAUAAAAGAAAUUUCUCUUUAUUAGAUUGCCAUCUUUGAGAGUAUCGAGAUUAAUUUGCAUUCAAAUAAUUACGUAACAUAUUUCGCAAAGAUGAUUAAAAGAAUGAGAAAAUGUGAUUAUUUAAGGAAUGGACAUUUGACGAUUUUGCUUAAAACGCGUCAAGAUUAAAAAUGUUCAUUGACGGUGCGAACGAAGCAAGGCCUAUUUAAACAAGACGAAUGUGCUCAGAAGUAUUUAUAAUUCCAUGCUUCUGUAAAACGUUAGAUUAUUUUUGUGUGGUUUGAUCGGAGAAGACGUUACGUCUGCCAUCCUGAGAUGAGACAACGCGCUCCAAGGUGUCUAAUACGAUACUUGUCUUUAUCCUAGAUAAAACAUCAUACAAACGUAACCAAUUCGCAUACCAUUGGGAUUUCAAAAGAAACAUAUACAAUCGCGUUUAACCCAUAAGAUAAUUAUAACUCUAAAGAAAUUUUCAUUUACGUUUCAGAAGAGAAUAUAGCCCAGUCUAAUUUAUUAACAUGCCAAAUUUCAUAAUCGAAAGAGAAACGUCAUUUAGGUGAUCACUGACGUCUGACUUUUGUCUCUAAAGAAAUCGUGACGUCACGAUAUAUCCUUGAAAGAGGCGCUAUUAUGGCCGGUCAAGCCUACGCUCUAGGCCAGGGGCUAGGCUAGGCUAUUUCCGCUAUUCAGCUUAUGGACAAAAAUAGUCCUAGAGAGGUUUCGAACAAGAAGCUGCUGGGACCUCUAGUACCCCUCCGUCGGAGAAAGAUGAUUUUCGUACUUCCGCCACUUCAAUCGAACCUCUUCAAUCCCAUCUCAUCGUCCAUUUCCCUUAUCUAUGACAUUUCGAGAGCGAUAUUCUUUACAUCCGAUAAUUUCCACCGGUCGUCCAUCCAUUAAUCUCGCUUCCUCUCUUACAGUUUAAUCUCUAGCUUUUGCAAUUAUACAGAUAGAAGCAAAGUAUCCGAGAUUUAUCAAACAAACUUUAAACAAGAGACCGAUAUUCCUGCACGAAAUUUUCAAUUUUCUUGGACAAAAGAAAACAAUCUUCUACCAAUUUCCUUAUACAAAGGAACGUCCAUUCGCCUGCAAUUUCCCUGCCAUUUGCAUAGGAUAAAGAUCAACGUUCUUUAAAGAACCGAAUCGACGAAACCUUCGUUCGUUGCGUUUCGAGAACAGAGCUUAAUUACAUGGAUGUGAUCGUAGGGACGCGGACGAUUUACAAUUAUUUCGGUAAUCGGUGGAAGCAAUUAAUCUCGGCGCACCCACAUAAUCGCGUUACUCUGUGUCGGCGCAGGCGCGCGUUUCUCCCCGUCGAAAACGGCUAUUUCCACCGUCGGCGACGCGCGACAGGUGCUCGGUCCAUGCCAAAGCAAAAGCGCAGCCUGGCCCACACCGUGCUCCCGUGAAACGCUACGAUUCUCGGCUGCACGAGUGAUUUCGAAACCGUGAGACCAGAACGCCGACGUGUGGGUAUUUUCAAUCGUCUCUUCUUUUUGCUGGCAGUGCGUUCAACGGUCCGACCGACUCGCCUCUCGUCCUGGCCGGACCGAUAGGUGAAGGCGAUCGAAUCGAGUCACCUCUCGACGUAUUUUUGGGCAGCCACGUGAUACCGUUUUCCAAUUUGUGCACGAGUUACGAAGUAGGUCCUCGUCACCGACUAUCGAGAUUUUCUUUCAAGCCUUCUUUUUCUUCUUUUUUUUUUCUUUUGUUAAUUCUUCUGUAAAACCAGGAUCGCAAGGUCUCCGUUUCUCGACAACUUGCGACUCUGUGAUUAUCCACGAUUAGAUGAGAUCCACGAUUACCCUGUCGGUUUAGAUCAGAGACUCGAAAGAUUUAGUGGCUAGUGAGAUUUACAAUUCAUCUCGUUUUAAGAAAAAUCCGUAGACUGAAAACUAGGAAUUAUACCGAGAGAAGUGUACGUACUACAGCCUCGGUAGAAUCGGCCGAUCGCUCAAGGUUGCCAAAUAGUCGUCUUCUAUAUAUCACGCACCCUCACCUUUCACCUCUUCCAUGUACUAGACAAAUGCAUCUACCAAAAGAAGAGCAACGGUAAGAAGGAAAUUACCUUAACGACCAAUGGGUUAAGUUUCCAUUCGUUUGGUGAGAAACGACGGUUAGUAAUGAACGUAGAUUCCCAAGAGGAUGCGAAGGAACAUCCAAGUAGUCUAAGGAUGAUCCGAAUACAAAUUGUACCCGAUGAGACGAGAAAAUAGCGAAUUUGGUUAACCCAGUUCCAUAGACCUCGUUACUGGCGCUCGCGACCUUAACGUUCGUCGUUUAACCGGUCGAAGUAGAACCCAAAGAGACAGAGCGUGAGAUCCAUCUCGAAAGCUGCUCCACCUGCCACCGGACACCAGUGUGACCAGGCUGACCGUCCGGCAGCACGCCUACACAAAUUGCUACUGCGUUAUUUCGAGUGAUUUAGCCUUGGGUGGCGGCCAGAGAAAACUUUUGAAAUAUCGGGGAACGUUUGGUCUCUUCCUUGGCCAUCAGGAUUUCAAGAUAAGCACAAAGUAGAACAAAGUGGUCCGCGAGUAACAGCAACGAGUUCGCAACCAGAACGUCGUCUCGUUUCGUACUAUGAUACCUUGUCGUUAGGAGGAUCGACAUCACCUGGUUCGUCCUGCAUAUCCAUCUUCAUUCUGCGAAGAAUAAUUCAAUAUAAUAAAUAUAAUUGAAAACGAUUCUCUGCAAGAUUUUGUUGAAUGUUAUCUAUGUUACCGCUUGCUUAAGGAGUCCACACACACGAUUCAACGUCGUUUGAUAGUAACAAGUCGUUGUUCUAAAGUAUGAAUGUCAGACCAUUUGCCAAGACUGCAACGAAAUUUACGAUACAACCUGUCACGUGUUACUCUUUGCCCCUUGUUUUCGUUUAAUAGCGCGAGAAUCGUAUAUAACCACUCGAAUAUUGCCAAUACGUACAACAUCUUCAUUUUCCUUACAAUAUUCGAUCCCUUUAAGAAUUUCCAAGCCUAAACCAGCGUAGCAACGAUAAACGUUAUGUUCAACCAUAUUCGAGCAACAUUCUACUUGUAAAAAAAGGGUGCAACACAUUGGGAGAAAGCAUAAUCGAAAAACUUUCCAAAUGUCUAACGACGCGCGCGCCUAUGUGUGUGUGUGUAUGUGUGCGCGUGUGUAUGUGCGUGUGAAUAAAAAAAAAAAAGUAGAAAAUACGACCGAUCGAAAUUGCAAUGGUUCGCAGCAAAGCCAGGGAUAAUUGGAUUUUUCGCGAGUGCACGGAGGUUUGGCACAACGGUGAAUAGGUUCCUUGACGAAAACGAGCUCUGGCCCGGAACGUCGACAAACCAGAACGAGAAAUAAUAAUAACAGCUCACGCAAAGAUUCCACUCGCGAUUUCGAUCUAACAUUUAAAUAGAUUUUGCGCUCGCGUACGAGCGUAAGAAAGGAAGACAGAGACGGAGGCACUCUUUCUGGGUUGGCCGGCCAGUUGGAAAUCCAAUCGAAGCUUGUUUUACUUUCUCAUUUUUACGAUGCUUAUUUUCAUUUCUUCUUUCAUGAUCUCUUAUAUAGAUUCUUAUGCAAGAGAAUCAUGGUGUAAUCAAUGAACGUAUUGAAAUGCUGUCUUGUUGGUAGAACUUGAUCUAUGAAUCGCAGUCUCAUCCGCACGGAAAAUUAUGAUUUUCUUUCUUACGUGUAAUGCUCGUUUCAUUAAUGCGCUUUGCUUUCGUUAUAUAGUUAUAUGGUUCCAUAAAAUGAAUUUCAGAUAAUUAUAUAGCGUACGAUUCGUAACAUUGCACUGUUCGCUUUGCAUAGAGAGACUCGUUGUCUAAAUACAAGGACAACUAAAAAAUCGGUGCCAAAUGACUGAACAAUUUGGCCAGUUUCUUAAUACAAAAAGAUAUAUUAAAGACAUUAUCUUCGAACACGUGUAUAUAAUUAUUUGAUAUACAGAUGGAAUGCGUGGAAAAUAAAAUUGAAUGUUUAUUCUGUAUCUUCUGCCAUACGAAAAUCAACUGGAAUAAUCGUUUCGUUACUGGGAUUUACUUUUGUAACGUUCCCCAUUAUCAAAUAUGCAUAUGAUUGAUUAAGAUAUGCAUUGAUUGAUAUACGUUUUAGAAAUAUUUUUUAACAUCCAGGCAAGAAUACCUCCGGACAGAACAGCUCCGCUCC